AUUGAACGCUGGCGGCAGGCCUAACACAUGCAAGUCGAGCGGUAGCACAGAGAGCUUGCUCUCGGGUGACGAGCGGCGGACGGGUGAGUAAUGUCUGGGAAACUGCCUGAUGGAGGGGGAUAACUACUGGAAACGGUAGCUAAUACCGCAUAAUGUCGCAAGACCAAAGUGGGGGACCUUCGGGCCUCAUGCCAUCAGAUGUGCCCAGAUGGGAUUAGCUAGUAGGUGGGGUAACGGCUCACCUAGGCGACGAUCCCUAGCUGGUCUGAGAGGAUGACCAGCCACACUGGAACUGAGACACGGUCCAGACUCCUACGGGAGGCAGCAGUGGGGAAUAUUGCACAAUGGGCGCAAGCCUGAUGCAGCCAUGCCGCGUGUGUGAAGAAGGCCUUCGGGUUGUAAAGCACUUUCAGCGGGGAGGAAGGCGGUGAGGUUAAUAACCUCAUCGAUUGACGUUACCCGCAGAAGAAGCACCGGCUAACUCCGUGCCAGCAGCCGCGGUAAUACGGAGGGUGCAAGCGUUAAUCGGAAUUACUGGGCGUAAAGCGCACGCAGGCGGUCUGUCAAGUCGGAUGUGAAAUCCCCGGGCUCAACCUGGGAACUGCAUUCGAAACUGGCAGGCUAGAGUCUUGUAGAGGGGGGUAGAAUUCCAGGUGUAGCGGUGAAAUGCGUAGAGAUCUGGAGGAAUACCGGUGGCGAAGGCGGCCCCCUGGACAAAGACUGACGCUCAGGUGCGAAAGCGUGGGGAGCAAACAGGAUUAGAUACCCUGGUAGUCCACGCCGUAAACGAUGUCGAUUUGGAGGUUGUGCCCUUGAGGCGUGGCUUCCGGAGCUAACGCGUUAAAUCGACCGCCUGGGGAGUACGGCCGCAAGGUUAAAACUCAAAUGAAUUGACGGGGGCCCGCACAAGCGGUGGAGCAUGUGGUUUAAUUCGAUGCAACGCGAAGAACCUUACCUGGUCUUGACAUCCACAGAACUUUCCAGAGAUGGAUUGGUGCCUUCGGGAACUGUGAGACAGGUGCUGCAUGGCUGUCGUCAGCUCGUGUUGUGAAAUGUUGGGUUAAGUCCCGCAACGAGCGCAACCCUUAUCCUUUGUUGCCAGCGGUUAGGCCGGGAACUCAAAGGAGACUGCCAGUGAUAAACUGGAGGAAGGUGGGGAUGACGUCAAGUCAUCAUGGCCCUUACGACCAGGGCUACACACGUGCUACAAUGGCAUAUACAAAGAGAAGCGACCUCGCGAGAGCAAGCGGACCUCAUAAAGUAUGUCGUAGUCCGGAUUGGAGUCUGUAACUCGACUCCAUGAAGUCGGAAUCGCUAGUAAUCGUAGAUCAGAAUGCUACGGUGAAUACGUUCCCGGGCCU
RNAcentral lists this ribosomal RNA (1361 nucleotides) under uncultured bacterium. RNAcentral's name for it is "bacterial SSU rRNA". It matches the Rfam family "Bacterial small subunit ribosomal RNA", at positions 28 to 1381 of the family's 1533-position model. The record is from RNAcentral.